CCCCGUCGGCGACGCCACGCUUCCCGGUCCGCGUCUGGCCCCACCUGGAGCCAGGGCGCGGGGAAGGCUAGGGGCCGGCAAUGGGCCAGGCCUGCCCACUGUUCCGCCGCGGGGACACCCGGACGAACCUGACAUGGGACUGAGCACUGACCUUAGAGGGUAUGGAGGCCAGAGCUUCCGAGCUACCAAGGACUCCAGAUAAACUUAAACAGGGAUGAAAUUGCUACCCAUAACCUGAGAAUCGACCUGUUUCCAGGAUUUGGAGUCCAUGGGGUGAUAGCCCGAGCUCAGGCAGCCAUCUUGGACCAUGACGACUGCAAGGAUGGAGAAUCAACAAAAUAACAAAGUGGAAGGAGCUCUGUCUUUGAUGAUUGUGGAGCCACUAGCUUAGAAUUGCUUACCACCUUACUUUGUCUCAGGAAGGGAAAAACAAUUUUAUCAUGUUCAGGCCGUGGUUAUUUUGUGACUCCCUCACAUGGAACUAAACCAAACUUGGUUAAUGCAUGAGACCUUUCCAGCCGCAUUCCCCUUACACUGUUGCUCCACCAGCUCUACCAAACUACACGCAGCUGUCUCUGCUAGCAUUCCUUUGCACAGCAUCUACUGCAGGGUGAUACAGAGAGCCCAUCACCUGUCUCCCUCACUUCCUGUGAACAUCUCUGGAGCAGAGACCGUACCUUUCUUGGAUUACUGCCAAGUCAAUGUGGUUGACUUCUUUAGGGCCAGAAAAAGAGGGAUAGGGAAUGGACAUUUAUUGGAUCCCAGUUAUAUGUACUUUAUAUUUUAUUUGUCUAGCUAUUGGAACACUCUGUAAGGGGUG
Long non-coding RNA from Camelus dromedarius (Arabian camel), 820 nucleotides. RefSeq lists it as uncharacterized. Lineage: Eukaryota; Metazoa; Chordata; Mammalia; Artiodactyla; Camelidae. The record is from RefSeq and is a predicted model, not a curated record. The transcript is spliced from 3 exons.